AAUAGAUACCCUGGUAGUCCACGCCGUAAACGUUGGAUACUAGGUGUGGCGGUUAUACCAAUGACUGCCGUGCCGAAGCUAACGCAUUAAGUAUCCCGCCUGGGGAGUACGGCCGCAAGGCUAAAACUCAAAGGAAUUGACGGGUCCCCGCACAAGCGGCGGAGCAUGCGGCUUAAUUCGAUGCAACCCGAAGAACCUUACCUGGGUUUGACAUCACGGGAAAAGCUGUAGAAAUACAGUGUCCAUUAGGGCCCGUGACAGGUGGUGCAUGGCUGUCGUCAGCUCGUGUCGUGAGAUGUUGGGUUAAGUCCCGCAACGAGCGCAACCCUUGUCCUAUGUUGCCAGCGGUUCGGCCGGGGACUCAUAGGAGACUGCCGGGGAUAACUCGGAGGAAGGUGAGGACGACGUCAAGUCAUCAUGCCCCUUAUAUCCAGGGCUGCACGUAUGCUACAAUGGCCGGUACAACGGGCAGCGACCCCGCGAGGGUGAGCGAAUCCUAAAAAGCCGGUCCUAGUUCGGAUUGAAGUCUGCAACUCGACUUC
Molecule: ribosomal RNA, 542 nt
Filed under: uncultured bacterium
Lineage: Bacteria
Description: bacterial SSU rRNA
Rfam family: Bacterial small subunit ribosomal RNA
Source: RNAcentral